GGGGUUGUGACUCAGUGGUAGAGUGCACACCUAGCACGCCCGAGGCCCUGGGUUCAAUCCUCAGCACUACA
RNAcentral lists this transfer RNA (71 nucleotides) under Marmota monax (woodchuck). RNAcentral's name for it is "tRNA.Ala". Lineage: Eukaryota; Metazoa; Chordata; Mammalia; Rodentia; Sciuridae. The record is from RNAcentral.